RNAcentral lists this ribosomal RNA (267 nucleotides) under uncultured bacterium. RNAcentral describes it as "partial 16S ribosomal RNA". It matches the Rfam family "Bacterial small subunit ribosomal RNA", at positions 1223 to 1500 of the family's 1533-position model. The record is from RNAcentral.
UGUUACAAUGGCCGGUACAAAGAGAAGCGAGGCUGUGAAGCGGAGCAAAUCUCAAAAACCGGUCCCAGUUCGGAUUGUAGGCUGCAACUCGCCUACAUGAAGUCGGAGUUGCUAGUAAUCGCGGAUCAGAAUGCCGCGGUGAAUGCGUUCCCGGGUCUUGUACACACCGCCCGUCACACCAUGGAAGUUGGGGGCGCCCGAAGUUGCCUAAGAAAUAAGGUACCUAAGGCGAAACCAAUGACUGGGGUGAAGUCGUAACAAGGUAAC